AUGAAACUAGGUUUCAACAAUCACUGGAUUUCAGUGGUCAUCUGCAUGGUCAAGUCAGUAUCCUUCUUAGUUCUUUUUAUGGCCAGAGGCUCAAGGAGUUCAUACCAUCGAGAGGUAUUCGAUAGGGAGAUCCCAUCUCCCCCUAUCUCUUUUUUGGUAGCGGAGGGCCUUUCUGACCUAUUAAAAUCUAACCAGUCAUUGCAUCUAAGCGGGAUUAAGGUGGCUUCUCAAGCUCCGCCGGUGAAUCAUAUCUUGUUUUCUUAUGACAGCAUAUUGUUCUUCAAAGUGAGUGUGGAGGGGGCGGUUGAGUUGUCAAACCUAUUGGAUACUUAUUGUCAGGUUUCAGGUCAACGGGUUAACAGAGAUAAGCAUCCAUCUUUUUCAGCAUAG
RNAcentral lists this ribosomal RNA (390 nucleotides) under Triticum aestivum (bread wheat). RNAcentral's name for it is "partial small subunit ribosomal RNA". Lineage: Eukaryota; Viridiplantae; Streptophyta; Magnoliopsida; Poales; Poaceae. The record is from RNAcentral.